AGGCCCCUGGACAUUAGAGAAACAAUCAGGCUUCUGGAGGUGGAAUCAAACCUAUCAGCUGAAGAAAUGGGAAGGGUACAGAACGUGGCCUCUUCCUGGGACCUCCCUCCGCUAACCACAACCAACAGGGCCCUUAAUGCUCUGCGGUGAAAAAUGGAGCAACAAGGCUGACCGUGACAUCGGGAGAGCUGAGGCAGAUCAUCUUAAACAUGAUGCACCUGGACGGUCCGGUGGCGGAGACUUCAAGAAUUAAAUAAAAUUACAAUGAAAUGGAUAA
Molecule: long non-coding RNA, 277 nt
Organism: Sardina pilchardus (European sardine)
Lineage: Eukaryota; Metazoa; Chordata; Actinopteri; Clupeiformes; Clupeidae
Exons: 3
Source: RefSeq, a predicted model, not a curated record